RNAcentral lists this ribosomal RNA (546 nucleotides) under Bacillus pumilus. RNAcentral's name for it is "bacterial SSU rRNA". It matches the Rfam family "Bacterial small subunit ribosomal RNA", at positions 546 to 1089 of the family's 1533-position model. Lineage: Bacteria; Bacillati; Bacillota; Bacilli; Caryophanales; Bacillaceae. The record is from RNAcentral.
GGGGAUUAUUGGGCGUAAAGGGCUCGCAGGCGGGUUUCUUAAGUCUGAUGUGAAAGCCCCCGGCUCAACCGGKGAGGGUCAUUGGAAACUGGGAAACUUGAGUGCAGAAGAGGAGAGUGGAAUUCCACGUGUAGCGGUGAAAUGCGUAGAGAUGUGGAGGAACACCAGUGGCGAAGGCGACUCUCUGGUCUGUAACUGACGCUGAGGAGCGAAAGCGUGGGGAGCGAACAGGAUUAGAUACCCUGGUAGUCCACGCCGUAAACGAUGAGUGCUAAGUGUUAGGGGGUUUCCGCCCCUUAGUGCUGCAGCUAACGCAUUAAGCACUCCGCCUGGGGAGUACGGUCGCAAGACUGAAACUCAAAGGAAUUGACGGGGGCCCGCACAAGCGGUGGAGCAUGUGGUUUAAUUCGAAGCAACGCGAAGAACCUUACCAGGUCUUGACAUCCUCUGACAACCCUAGAGAUAGGGCUUUCCCUUCGGGGACAGAGUGACAGGUGGUGCAUGGUUGUCGUCAGCUCGUGUCGUGAGAUGUUGGGUUAAGUCCCG